AGGACGAACGCUGGCGGCGUGCUUAACACAUGCAAGUCGAGCGGAAAGGCCCUUCGGGGUACUCGAGCGGCGAACGGGUGAGUAACACGUGAGCAACCUGCCCUGGACUUUGGGAUAACCCUCGGAAACGGGGGCUAAUACCGAAUACGACACAGCUUCGCAUGGGGUCUGUGUGGAAAGUUUUUCGGUCUGGGAUGGGCUCGCGGCCUAUCAGCUUGUUGGUGGGUGAUGGCCUACCAAGGCGACGACGGGUA
Molecule: ribosomal RNA, 254 nt
Filed under: uncultured bacterium
Lineage: Bacteria
Description: partial small subunit ribosomal RNA
Rfam family: Bacterial small subunit ribosomal RNA
Source: RNAcentral